GCCAGGUGCGGUGGCCCAGGCCUGUAAUCCCAGCUACUUGGGAGGCUGAGGCAGGAGGAUCACAAGUUCAAGAUCAGCCUGAGCAAUUUAGAGGGACCCUGUCUCAA
This 107-nucleotide small RNA is filed under the name Marmota monax (woodchuck). The record is from RNAcentral. Lineage: Eukaryota; Metazoa; Chordata; Mammalia; Rodentia; Sciuridae.